Anser brachyrhynchus (Pink-footed goose) is the source of this 1572-nucleotide long non-coding RNA. The record is from Ensembl. NCBI's taxonomy places the organism in Eukaryota, Metazoa, Chordata, Aves, Anseriformes, Anatidae.
AUGUCCCAAGAAGGGGGGCUGCCGGAGGGUGCCGAAAGCAGGACCGUCCCGGGGGGGCUCAGCCUGCCCCCGAAGAAGCGGGCGAUGACAGCGAGGAAGGCGCUGCCGGCCCCGGGCAGCCCCAGGCACUGGGGCUCCACACCAGCUCCAGGUGCCUGGGUGCUGCCAGGGGGGCCCGGGGCUGCCUGCCCCUCGCCCCAGCACCCACCCCGCUGUGUGAGGCCGGUGGCUCCUGCGGGCACCCAGCAGCCGUGGGCACGAUGCGCCCUGCCUGGGCACACGAGGGACCCCGGCUCCACCACAGGCACUGCUGAUGGGGCAGCAGGGGGCUGCCCGCAGCCCCCGGGCAUGGCCACCACCUGCAGAAGGGGCUGGGGCACCCCCCGAGGCUGUCCCGGGGCCAGGAGCUGCCUGCACGCCCCAGCCUGGAUGUCCCCCAGCAGGCAGCACGGGGACAGGCAGGACAUGGGGGUAGGGGUGGUGGGGGCCCUGCCGGGGCUCUGGUCUGCAGCCAGCCCGGUGGCACCAACUGGGGCUGGGAGCGCAGGGGGCACAGAGCUGGGCGGGGGGCUCCCCCCGGUAACCCCAUUGCCCACAGGCAGCAUCCCCAGGGCACAGGUGUAUUACGGACUGGCAGUGGGUACGGGCGAGCUGAGCAGGGCAGCUGCCAGCCUGCACGAUGCCAGCGUCCCCCCACCCACACCAACCCCCUCGGAGCCCCCCAGCCCCUCACCUCCACCUUACACCAGUGCUGCCCCUCCGCAGCCCCCUCCCAGGGCGACUUCCCCGCAGGGGACAGGCGAGGAGCCUGCUGACACGGGGACCGUCCCCACGACGCCCACCCCGGCGCCUGCCCACGUUUCCACCUCCCCAGGGCUGACCCCCACAGCACCGUCCCACGCGUUGCUCUACUCCCAGCCGCUCUGCCCCGCGGUCGCGUACCGGCAGUGCCGAGCCCCGGCCGGCACCGGGGGGCUCUGGGCCAUGCUGCUGCCCACGGCCAGCACGGCCUUCGUGCUGCCCCACUUCCAGCGGGGCUCCCUGGCGGUGCUGCCCGGCGGCGAGCAGAGGAAGGUGGAGGAGCUGCGGGAGGAGGAUUUCCUGCGGUGCGCGGCGGCCGGCACCGAGCUACGCAUCAGCUCGUGCGUGGUGCGGGGCAUCCGGAGGAGCUCGCACGCCGGCUUCGCCUCCCUGCGGGUCUGCCUCGGGGAGCAGGACGGGCAGGUGCGUGAGGGGCUGUCCUCGGGAAGGGGAUCCCCACACCCCCAAACGCACGGGGGCCGUCACAGUGCAGGCACUGACAUGAGCAGCCAUCCCCUGCGCUCUCAUCACCCAAAGGAGCUGCCUGGGCUUUGCAAAUAUUUUUCCCCAAAAGCUCUGCGCCUCCAGGAGCUGGCGGUGAGGGCUGCCAGGUGCAGGGAAGCGGGCAAGGACAUCAGUCCUGCUCUGCGUGGAGGGAGCGGGGCCGCGGGGGGAGGCAGGCCAGGCUGCAUGGUCCCACCUACAUGUCCCCACCGGAUCACCAGCCCCAUCCUUAGGGGACCCUUCCAAGCAUCAGCCCCAGAGAGCUGA